RNAcentral lists this ribosomal RNA (165 nucleotides) under x Beruladium procurrens. Its description in RNAcentral is "5.8S ribosomal RNA". It matches the Rfam family "5.8S ribosomal RNA". Rfam says of the family: 5.8S ribosomal RNA (5.8S rRNA) is a component of the large subunit of the eukaryotic ribosome. Lineage: Eukaryota; Viridiplantae; Streptophyta; Magnoliopsida; Apiales; Apiaceae. The record is from RNAcentral.
ACAAACGACUCUCGGCAACGGAUAUCCCGGCUCUCGCAUCGAUGAAGAACGUAGCGAAAUGCGAUACUUGGUGUGAAUUGCAGAAUCCCGUGAACCAUCGAGUCUUUGAACGCAAGUUGCNCCNGAGGCCAUCAGGCUAAGGGCACGUCUGCCUGGGUGUCACGC